This 1505-nucleotide ribosomal RNA is filed under the name uncultured bacterium. Its description in RNAcentral is "16S ribosomal RNA". It matches the Rfam family "Bacterial small subunit ribosomal RNA". The record is from RNAcentral.
GAUGAACGCUGGCGGCGUGCCUAAUACAUGCAAGUCGAGCGAACGGACGAGAAGCUUGCUUCUCUGAUGUUAGCGGCGGACGGGUGAGUAACACGUGGAUAACCUACCUAUAAGACUGGGAUAACUUCGGGAAACCGGAGCUAAUACCGGAUAAUAUUUUGAACCGCAUGGUUCAAAAGUGAAAGACGGUCUUGCUGUCACUUAUAGAUGGAUCCGCGCUGCAUUAGCUAGUUGGUAAGGUAACGGCUUACCAAGGCAACGAUGCAUAGCCGACCUGAGAGGGUGAUCGGCCACACUGGAACUGAGACACGGUCCAGACUCCUACGGGAGGCAGCAGUAGGGAAUCUUCCGCAAUGGGCGAAAGCCUGACGGAGCAACGCCGCGUGAGUGGUGAAGGUCUUCGGAUCGUAAAACUCUGUUAUUAGGGAAGAACAUAUGUGUAAGUAACUGUGCACAUCUUGACGGUACCUAAUCAGAAAGCCACGGCUAACUACGUGCCAGCAGCCGCGGUAAUACGUAGGUGGCAAGCGUUAUCCGGAAUUAUUGGGCGUAAAGCGCGCGUAGGCGGUUUUUUAAGUCUGAUGUGAAAGCCCACGGCUCAACCGUGGAGGGUCAUUGGAAACUGGAAAACUUGAGUGCAGAAGAGGAAAGUGGAAUUCCAUGUGUAGCGGUGAAAUGCGCAGAGAUAUGGAGGAACACCAGUGGCGAAGGCGACUUUCUGGUCUGUAACUGACGCUGAUGUGCGAAAGCGUGGGGAUCAAACAGGAUUAGAUACCCUGGUAGUCCACGCCGUAAACGAUGAGUGCUAAGUGUUAGGGGGUUUCCGCCCCUUAGUGCUGCAGCUAACGCAUUAAGCACUCCGCCUGGGGAGUACGACCGCAAGGUUGAAACCCAAAGGAAUUGACGGGGACCCGCACAAGCGGUGGAGCAUGUGGUUUAAUUCGAAGCAACGCGAAGAACCUUACCAAAUCUUGACAUCCUUUGACAACUCUAGAGAUAGAGCCUUCCCCUUCGGGGGACAAAGUGACAGGUGGUGCAUGGUUGUCGUCAGCUCGUGUCGUGAGAUGUUGGGUCAAGUCCCGCAACGAGCGCAACCCUUAAGCUUAGUUGCCAUCAUUAAGUUGGGCACUCUAAGUUGACUGCCGGUGACAAACCGGAGGAAGGUGGGGAUGACGUCAAAUCAUCAUGCCCCUUAUGAUUUGGGCUACACACGUGCUACAAUGGACAAUACAAAGGGCAGCGAAACCGCGAGGUCAAGCAAAUCCCAUAAAGUUGUUCUCAGUUCGGAUUGUAGUCUGCAACUCGACUACAUGAAGCUGGAAUCGCUAGUAAUCGUAGAUCAGCAUGCUACGGUGAAUAUGUUCCCGGGUCUUGUACACACCGCCCGUCACACCACGAGAGUUUGUAACACCCGAAGCCGGUGGAGUAACCUUUUAGGAGCUAGCCGUCGAAGGUGGGACAAAUGAUUUGGGGUGAAGUCGUAACAAGGUAGCCGUAUCGGAAGG